RNAcentral lists this ribosomal RNA (478 nucleotides) under uncultured bacterium. Its description in RNAcentral is "partial 16S ribosomal RNA". It matches the Rfam family "Bacterial small subunit ribosomal RNA", at positions 28 to 507 of the family's 1533-position model. The record is from RNAcentral.
GAUGAACGCUGGCGGCGUGCUUAACACAUGCAAGUCGAACGAGAAGUGAAGACGGAAACCUUCGGGCGGAAGGCUUUAUUUCGAGUGGCGGACGGGUGAGUAACGCGUGGGUAACCUGCCUCAUACAGGGGGAUAACAGUUGGAAACGACUGUUAAUACCGCAUAAGACCACAGCACCGCAUGGUGCGGGGGUAAAAACUCCGGUGGUAUGAGAUGGACCCGCGUUCGAUUAGCCAGUUGGCGGGGUAACGGCCCACCAAAGCGACGAUCGAUAGCCGAUCUGAGAGGAUGACCGGCCACAGUGGGACUGAGACACGGCCCAAACUCCUACGGGAGGCAGCAGUGGGGAAUAUUGCAAAAUGGGGGAAACCCUGAUGCAGCGACGCCGCGUGAGUGAAGAAGUAUUUCGGUAUGUAAAGCUCUAUAAGCAGGGAAGAAAAUGACGGUACCUGAGGAAGAAGCCCCGGCUAACUACGUG